GAUGAACGCUGGCGGCGUGCCUAAUACAUGCAAGUCGAGCGAACGGACGAGAAGCUUGCUUCUCUGAUGUUAGCGGCGGACGGGUGAGUAACACGUGGAUAACCUACCUAUAAGACUGGGAUAACUUCGGGAAACCGGAGCUAAUACCGGAUAAUAUUUUGAACCGCAUGGUUCAAAAGUGAAAGACGGUCUUGCUGUCACUUAUAGAUGGAUCCGCGCUGCAUUAGCUAGUUGGUAAGGUAACGGCUUACCAAGGCAACGAUGCAUAGCCGACCUGAGAGGGUGAUCGGCCACACUGGAACUGAGACACGGUCCAGACUCCUACGGGAGGCAGCAGUAGGCAAUCUUCCGCAAAGGGCGAAAGCCUGACGGAGCAACGCCGCGUGAGUGAUGAAGGUCUUCGGAUCGUAAAACUCUGUUAUUAGGGAAGAACAUAUGUGUAAGUAACUGUGCACAUCUUGACGGUACCUAAUCAGAAAGCCACGGCUAACUACGUG
RNAcentral lists this ribosomal RNA (497 nucleotides) under uncultured bacterium. RNAcentral describes it as "partial 16S ribosomal RNA". It matches the Rfam family "Bacterial small subunit ribosomal RNA", at positions 28 to 507 of the family's 1533-position model. The record is from RNAcentral.